CCAGACUCCUACGGGAGGCAGCAGUGAGGAAUAUUGGUCAAUGGUCGGGAGGCUGAACCAGCCAAGCCGCGUGAGGGAGGAAGGUACAGAGUAUCGUAAACCUCUUUUGUCAGGGAACAAAGGCGGGGACGUGUCCCCGGAUGAGUGUACCUGAAGAAAAAGCAUCGGCUAACUCCGUGCCAGCAGCCGCGGUAAUACGGAGGAUGCGAGCGUUAAUCGGAAUUACUGGGCGUAAAGGGUGUGCAGGCGGCUGAUUAAGACAGAGGUGAAAUACCCGGGCUUAGCCUGGGGACCGCAUAUGUGACUGCUUGGCUAGAGUGCGUCAGAGGGAGGUGGAAUUCCUCGUGUAGCAGUGAAAUGCGUAGAUAUGUGGAAGAACACCGAUGGCGAAGGCAGCCUCCUGGGACGCAACUGACGCUCAUACACGAAAGCGUGGGGAGCAAACAGGAUUAGAUACCCGUGUAGA
RNAcentral lists this ribosomal RNA (466 nucleotides) under uncultured bacterium. RNAcentral's name for it is "bacterial SSU rRNA". It matches the Rfam family "Bacterial small subunit ribosomal RNA", at positions 331 to 794 of the family's 1533-position model. The record is from RNAcentral.